Molecule: ribosomal RNA, 482 nt
Filed under: uncultured bacterium
Lineage: Bacteria
Description: partial 16S ribosomal RNA
Rfam family: Bacterial small subunit ribosomal RNA
Source: RNAcentral
AUUGAACGCUGGCGGCAUGCUUUACACAUGCCAGUCGAACGGUAACAGGCCGCAAGGUGCUGACGAGUGGCGAACGGGUGAGUAAUGCAUCGGAGCGUGCCCAGUCGUGGGGGAUAACUACUCGAAAGAGUAGCUAAUACCGCAUACGAUCUAUGGAUGAAAGCGGGGGACCGUAAGGCCUCGCGCGAUUGGAGCGGCCGAUGUCAGAUUAGGUAGUUGGUGGGGUAAAGGCUCACCAAGCCAACGAUCUGUAGCUGGUCUGAGAGGACAACCAGCCACACUGGGACUGAGACACGGCCCAGACUCCUACGGGAGGCAGCAGUGGGGAAUUUUGGACAAUGGGCGCAAGCCUGAUCCAGCAAUGCCGCGUGCAGGAAGAAGGCCUUCGGGUUGUAAACUGCUUUUGUACGGAACGAAACGGCCCUGGUUAAUACCCGGGGCUAAUGACGGUACCGUAAGAAUAAGCACCGGCUAACUACGUG